Long non-coding RNA from Gasterosteus aculeatus aculeatus (three-spined stickleback), 4138 nucleotides. NCBI's taxonomy places the organism in Eukaryota, Metazoa, Chordata, Actinopteri, Perciformes, Gasterosteidae. The record is from Ensembl.
AGCAGCACUGAAUUCUGGGAGGGUGUGGCCAUGGAAACACAAAUGUAUGACUCACCAAUCAGUAAUUGAUCACAGUGGCAACCAUGGUUACACGUUUCUUAAGAGACGACGUGGUGAUUUAACAAUAAGAGCCUUCACAUACACCGUUCUUAUUUUGUAAAUACUAACAAUACCCAGGAGCCUCAGCUGAUAUUGCCAUGGAGACAAGGCCGCAAUGUUCCUGAAGGGUUCUACAAAGGGUUACCUUUAGCUUCUUAAAGCUCUUUGUUGAUGAGAUGCAUCUUGGGGGUUGAAGCAUUUUCUGAAUCCGGGAUUCAAGAUUAAAGACCCUAACCUGACAAUCAACCUGUGUGGGACAGCAGCAGGUGGGCGGGGCUUCAUUCUGGUACAAUGUUAAUGAGUUGAAGUAAUGAUUUUUCAUUUUGUCGGAUCAUUUUCUGAAACAAAUGAAAAUUUGAAAAAAAUCAAUAAAAAACUAUUUAAAAAAGAAAUGUUCGUAAAUGUGUGUCUGUGUGAGCAAGAAUAAAGGGGGAACAGUCUGAGUACUGGAGGGAAACAGACACGGUGAGAUGUCAAUGGUAAAGAUCCUCUAUCACACCGAAACCAAAAGUCCUGAAAGAAUCCCUGAACGCUGAUCUGAAGUCAGCACUGGGCUGCAGGAAGCUGAUUUGUUAACAUGCGGCGCAGUAACUGAAAAGGGGCGGGGCAAACGCAGAGAGGAGCCAAUCAUCACAGGUGCUGCCAGUCGAUGGCUACCAGCGUUUGAUUGGCCUCCUGAGCGUGACCUAUGACCUCAGCGAUGCCGUGCUGACGCCACAGACGCUCAAUCUUCCUGUAGCGCUCAACGCAGAGGUGGAGGGGGUUCCCCCGCCUGCAGGUAAACAAACAAACUAAUCAAUAAAUCAAUAAACAAAAGGUGGAGGGGGUUCCCCCGUCAGUAGGUAAACAAACAAACUAAUCAAUAAAUCAAUAAACAAAAGGUGGAGGGGGUUCCCCCGUCAGUAGGUAAACAAACAAACUAAUCAAUAAAUCAAUAAACAAAAGGUGGAGGGGGUUCCCCCGUCAGUAGGUAAACAAAUAAACUAAUCAAUAAACAAAGGUGGAGGGGGUUCCCCCGCUUGCAGGUAAACAAACAAACUAAUCAAUAAAUCAAUAAACAAAAGGUGGAGGGGGUUCCCCCGUCAGUAGGUAAACAAAUAAACUAAUCAAUAAAUAAAUAAACAAAGGGAGGGGGUUCCUCUGCCUGCAGGUAAACAAACAAACUAAUCAAUAAAUCAAUAAACAAAGGUGGAGGGGGUUCCCCCGCCACCAGGUAAACAAAUAAACUAAUCAAUAAAUAAAUAAACAAAGGGAGGGGGUCCCCCCGCCUGCAGGUAAACAAACCGAUCACUAUAGGAAAGCACCUACUUGAGGCCCUGGUCCGUCUCCCCGUAGUCGUCCAGGUACGGAGGAGGAUAGAAGCAGCCCUUUGUUUUACCUGCUACAAACAGCACCUGACUUUCUCUUACCCUGCACGCAACACACACAGACACACACACAGACACACAGUCAGAGUGUGUACAGUGUACAGUGUGUAGUGUGUGCAUCUGCAGUAGAGCACAGGGCCCCGUUCCUCGUACGUGGCUAGCUGCGUUAGCCGGAUAAGAUGACAAGGAUCAGGCUUUUCGGUUCAAAUCACCACAGCAACACAUCCACAAACUUGAACCUGCUCCGGCGCAGCUUCAUUUGAGCGGCUGGAUUAAUUCGCCACUCCCCCGGAAAACAAGGCAGCUCUCUUCCUCACUGAUAAAGGGAAGCCGCUGCAUGUUGUGUUCUUCAUAAAGUUCAGUUGGUUUAUUUGACACUUUUCAUGUUCCACGUUUCACUGCUUCAAUUGAUCAAAUGUCUGAUGACACACUGAUUCGCCCACACACACACACACACACACACACACACACACACACACACACACACACACACACACACACACACACACACACACACACACACACACACAAUAAAACUCCUAGUUCUAUUUGGUCAUCUACAUACAUAUGAUACAUAAUACAUGUAUUUAUCUACUUAUUCUGAAAUUGGAUGGUGAUGAAUUCCCUUUAAAGAACUAUAAUCUGAUUGAUUAGAGUGAUGAGGCACUUAAAAUGAGCGUGAAUCAGCCUUGGAGGAACCGAGACAGGCUGACAUUAAUCAUCUCGUUAAAUUGAUCUGGAUAAUGUGACAUUUGAUCGACUUUGUUGAACCACGGUAGGAAAAAUAGGGCCCUGGUGUGUUACCUGAGGAAGAGACCAAGGCCGGCUCCACAGGUGAAGGUGUGGGCGGUGCAGGCACCUACGUCCUCUCCGUCCACCUCCGUCUGACAGCAGUAACUCUGAGAACACAACAUGGAGCCGCACACCAGACACAGAGUGGGAGCUCGGGACUUAUCUCCUCCGGACCGGGGACACCUGCACAGGUGAAGGUGGGACGGAGGAAAUUGAUGAGUAGAUGAAGAACAGUCAGAGGAGCUGGUCAGUGCACAUAAGGUAUAUACAUGUACAUAUAAACAUAUAUGUACAUGUAUAUGUAUAUUAGGGCUGUCGAUGGAUUAAAAAUGUAACUAAUUAAUCGCACAUUUUGGAAUUCGUUCAUCUUAUAUAUAUUAUAUAUAUAUAUACUAUUUAGACACUGUUGUCUAUUGUUAAUGUUAUUUUAAACACAAAACUACACACAUCUGAUCACCUUGGAGGCAGAAUUACACCGAGUGGAAUAUGUUGAACUAGCAACUCUUCCAGCUAGCUUAGCUUAGCAUAGCGGUGCUUUAAGGGGUCCGUUUGCCACUCACCCCCCUUCACUUUGUUCUCUGCUGUAUGUGGUGCCUCUGUUGGUUUUACUUCCAAUGCAAAAAGCUGUCUCAUCUUGAGCUACCGUCCUGCUUUCUCCGAUGUAACCGACUGCAGCUAGCGGCCGUUUCGUUUCCGCCGUCUACUUCUGAUAAACAAAGGUACCUUAACUACGUUAGAGUAUUUUGUCGCAUUAAUCUUGGCCACAUUAAUCGCAUAGAUUAAUGCGUUUAUGUUCACAGCCCGUAUACAGUGAUCCCUCGCCACUUCGCGGUUCACUUAUCGCGGAUUCGCUAUUUCGCGGAUUUUCAUAUUGCAUUUUUUUUUUUUUGGUGCAUUGUGCUCUGCAUUCUGAUUCGCUAAAAACUCACUCCCGAGCCGUUCAUUACAGUUCUCCAACGUCAUCGAUGGUGGCAUGUCGGUGUACAAGGAUCUUUUUGCAAAGAAGAAAAAAGAGCGACAACAGCUGCCUAUCACUAUGUUCUUCUCCCGAACAAACACACCUGCACCGCGGGCUUCAGAAGAAGAGAACACUGCAGAGCGCAGUCAGGAUGCAGCGGCCCAGUCUGAAGAGCAGUGAAACGGCCUACACGCGAGCCACUGUAUUUGUAUACAUGUAAUAGUUGCUAAUUGUAAAAAAAAAAAAAAGUUUUCUAUUUCGCGGAUUUCACUUAUCGCGGGUCAUUUUCGGAACGUAACCCCCGCGAUAAACGAGGGAUUACUGUAUACAUAUAUAUAUAUAUAUAUAUAGACAAAGGGUGUAUAUACAAUGUGUACUAAAAGUGUGUACUGUGAAUACAUACAGUGUGUAUUUGCAGUGUGUACUGUGAGUAUAUUCAGCGUAUACUAGCAAUGUGUAUAUGCAAUGUGUACUAAAAGUGUGUACUGUGAGUAUAUACAGUGUGUAUUUGCAGUGUGUAUAUACAGUGUGUAUUUGCAGUGUGUAUAUACAGUGUGUAUUUACAGUGCGUACUGAGAGUAUAUACAGUGUGUAUUUGCAGUGUGUACUGUGUGCAUAUACAGUGUGUAUUUGCAGUGUGUACUGUGAGUAUAUACAGUGUGUAUUUGCAGUGUGUAUUUGCAGUGUGUACUGUGAGUAUAUACAGUGUGUAUUUACAGUGUGUACUGUGUGUACAUACAGUGUGUAUUUGCAGUGUUCUGUGAGUAUAUACAGUGUGUAUUUGCAGUGCGUACUGUGAGUAUAAACAGUGUGUAUUUGCAGUGCGUACUGUGAGUAUAAACAGUGUGUAUUUGCAGUGUGUACUGUGAGUAUAAACAGUGUGUAUUUGCAGUGUGUACUGUGAGUAUAAACAGUGUGUAUU